CAAGAAAUAGUUUAUUUAAAAUUCCGGUUUUGGGACCCGGGGAUAGGGGAAAGUUCUUUUUUUUUUGA
This 68-nucleotide transfer RNA is filed under the name Sphenodon punctatus (tuatara). Its description in RNAcentral is "tRNA-Pro". Lineage: Eukaryota; Metazoa; Chordata; Lepidosauria; Sphenodontia; Sphenodontidae. The record is from RNAcentral.